CCUACGGGAGGCAGCAGUGGGGAAUAUUGGACAAUGGGGGGAACCCUGAUCCAGCCAUGCCGCGUGUGUGAAGAAGGCCCUCGGGUUGUAAAGCACUUUCAGUGAGGACGAACGCCUGGUGGUUAAUACCCAUCAGGAAAGACAUCACUCACAGAAGAAGCACCGGCUAACUCCGUGACAGCAGCCGCGGUAAUACGGAGGGUGCGAGCGUUAAUCGGAAUUACUGGGCGUAAAGCGCGCGUAGGUGGCUUGAUAAGCCGGUUGUGAAAGCCCCGGGCUCAACCUGGGAACGGCAUCCGGAACUGUCAAGCUAGAGUGCAGGAGAGGAAGGUAGAAUUCCCGGUGUAGCGGUGAAAUGCGUAGAGAUCGGGAGGAAUACCAGUGGCGAAGGCGGCCUUCUGGACUGACACUGACACUGAGGUGCGAAAGCGUGGGUAGCAAACAGGAUUAGAUACCCUAGUAGUC
Molecule: ribosomal RNA, 465 nt
Filed under: Vreelandella stevensii
Lineage: Bacteria; Pseudomonadati; Pseudomonadota; Gammaproteobacteria; Oceanospirillales; Halomonadaceae
Description: partial 16S ribosomal RNA
Rfam family: Bacterial small subunit ribosomal RNA
Source: RNAcentral